RNAcentral lists this transfer RNA (75 nucleotides) under Rhipicephalus sanguineus (brown dog tick). Its description in RNAcentral is "transfer RNA asparagine (anticodon GUU)". It matches the Rfam family "tRNA". Rfam says of the family: Transfer RNA (tRNA) molecules are approximately 80 nucleotides in length. Their secondary structure includes four short double-helical elements and three loops (D, anti-codon, and T loops). Further hydrogen bonds mediate the characteristic L-shaped molecular structure. tRNAs have two regions of fundamental functional importance: the anti-codon, which is responsible for specific mRNA codon recognition, and the 3' end, to which the tRNAs corresponding amino acid is attached (by aminoacyl-tRNA synthetases). tRNAs cope with the degeneracy of the genetic code in two manners: having more than one tRNA (with a specific anti-codon) for a particular amino acid; and 'wobble' base-pairing, i.e. permitting non-standard base-pairing at the 3rd anti-codon position. Lineage: Eukaryota; Metazoa; Arthropoda; Arachnida; Ixodida; Ixodidae. The record is from Rfam by way of RNAcentral.
GCCUCCGUGGCGCAAUUGGCUAGCGCGUUCGGCUGUUAACCGGAAGGUUGGAGGUUUCGAUCCCUCCCGGGGGCG